RNAcentral lists this ribosomal RNA (303 nucleotides) under Triticum aestivum (bread wheat). RNAcentral describes it as "partial small subunit ribosomal RNA". Lineage: Eukaryota; Viridiplantae; Streptophyta; Magnoliopsida; Poales; Poaceae. The record is from RNAcentral.
AUGCCUUUAUUCUCCAUGUUUGCUAAAAGAGAGCUGCCCAGGUCUCCUGUGUCUCUCCCCUUGCCCCCGUGCUCCUUUUUCCUCUCUCUCUCUCUCUCUCUCUCUCUCUCUCUCUCUCUCUCUCUGAGCUCUUCUCAUCUCACCGCCGUACUUCGUUUACAGGAGCAACCAUGGAUGCUCCGCGUUCAAGGUGUACAAGGCCGAUUUGGAGUGGUUCCCUCGCAAGCCCCUGCUAUUCCCCACCUCUCGCGGGGUUCUACAUCUAGAUUGUUUUCUUCAGUGGCAGGAAGGAGGUACAGAUAG